UCACUUUUCCAUUCCAACUGAAACGCAUUUCAUUUCACCUCUCUCACGUUAUUCUUCCGUUUCUUUUCUCACCCCUUUAUCAUUCGGAUCCUUCUCCUUCUCUGAAGCUCCAUAACAAAAAAACAUACGACUAAGAUUCACCAGAGCAGAGCCGUGCGAGAGAGAGAGGGUCCAGCCGAAGAGAUGAGGUCGUGCGGCACUGGGUGAGACAGCGGAGGAGCUCCGAUCUGGUGCGACCCGCCGCUGUUUCGACGGCAAAAGUUGGUGUGCUUGGUCUGUAGAAAAAGGAAUGAACGAACGAAAUGGAAGAUAGGAAUGCUCACACCUGCGAUGAAGAUGGCGUUGUUGUGAUAAGUCUGCAGAGAGGGUGCGAAAUUGAAUGAGUGUGCAGAGAGGGUGAGAAACGUGAAAGACAUAAAUCAAAUUGGAAAUUGGAGAGUUCCUAUGGUUUUUUGUUUCGGACGGUGAGGUGGGUAUGAUCAAUUUCCUUCUUUUCUGAAAGCUGCAAAGUCAUUUCAACCAAUGCCCCCUAUAACAUCGCCGGAUACCGUUAACGAUUUCGCCAGUUAUUCCGCUGCAAUUGGGAAUCACUCUAAGAACCAACACAGUAUGUUCUGUCGCUUAUGUUACGGGCACCACUGAUUCCGUCUUGGAUUUUUUGCUCCUCCACUUUUGUGCGCCUUGGCUGGGCUCAUCUGUGUGUUAGUGUGUUCUGUGACAGCAACACAAGAGGUAUCACCACAGCUUUUCCUGUUAAGCGCCUCUUCUGUAAGGUUUGUUGUUGCAGACCAAGCUUCCUUUACAAUUUACAUUUCUGAUGGCAUCCAUUACCUUGAAUAAUUUAAUAUACAGAUGUAAGAAGUGCAAAAAUAUGGUCCAUAAGGUGUGUGCAUAGUUCAUUAUUUGUCAAAUCUUACCUUCCAUAACCCAUCACUGGCUAAUAUAACAAACUCUGCAUCAUCAUCUAUCAGCUCCACUACCAUAUAUAUGGUUCUGAGCUCAAGUGUUUCUUUAGGCUCAAGUGUGGUUUUGAGCUCAGUUUCAACAUAUGCUCUCUUCACUACAUCUCCAAGUUCAGUCCAAGAGUCAGGCUACAUUAUGAAAAAAGAAAGAUGAAAACUCAACAAACACCGGCAAUUUAUCCACCCAUGUUAGCUUCGGGACUAUUUAAGCAAGGUACUAAUAGCUCUACCCAUAUUUGUUGUUAUUAUAGUUUCAGUUUUCUAAUUGCCAUUUUCAAAUUUUGGAAAGUAUGAAAAAGUAUAAGUUGAAAUUGUCUAACACUGUUCUGUCAUCUUCUAUGUCUCUGUAGCAUUUUGAUUAACUACAAUUGAAUCACUUUUGCUGGUCCGGGGUUGACCAAGUUCAAGUCAUGGCUAUUUGGGCUUAUGGUUUAUUUGGUGUUGAACUAUUCUCAUUGUAGUGUGGUUCUAAAUAUGUCUCAGAUUUUUUUAUAAUGGCAAAGCUGUGAAGUUCUAAAUAUCUUUCUCUAUUAAUUAUAUUCCCUUUCAGCUAUAUUUAAAGACUUGAUAGUAUCAUUUUCAUUUUUAUCUUAUUCUAGGAAACCCAUUCGAGAAAGUGACUUUGAAUCUGCUACAGAGAAAAGCCAGCAGUCGCCAUUGUCAUGAAAGAAAAGAAAAGGGAUGCUUCUAAGGUAACAUGAACUUGCCACUUCAUUCAAGUACAGUUGUUUAUUGUAUUUCAUAUUGGCUUAGGAUGUGCUAUUAUUGGUUCUCCAUUUAAAUAGACUCAAACAUUCAAUCAAAUAGAGGUACUCAAACUUUCAAUCAAGAAUGGGAAGAACAUGUGAAUUUCGCCUCUGCAUUGGCUAGCAAUUCAUUCCAAGAAUAGCUUCCUUCAACUACUCUCAGAACCGAGGGAAGUGGAACUAUUAUGCUCAAAACUACCAGCAAUCCAAUAGCACUUUCUCAUGAUGGUGCAAAUACUAAAGGGUUCUAAAUUUGAUAACAUUUCUUUGCUUUUUUCUGUUCCUCUUUUCUUUUUAAGUUGGGAGCUAGGUCUAUGUAAAUCACAUUCCUUUUUCAUUGCAAAUGAAUUGCACCUGAUGCAGAUUUCAGUUUGGAUUUCUAUUUGUUAGUUAGCUUAUGAAGGAAAUAUUCUUUGUCAUUUGUA
Lotus japonicus is the source of this 2133-nucleotide RNA transcript. RefSeq lists it as uncharacterized. The transcript is spliced from 5 exons. The record is from RefSeq and is a predicted model, not a curated record. NCBI's taxonomy places the organism in Eukaryota, Viridiplantae, Streptophyta, Magnoliopsida, Fabales, Fabaceae.